Molecule: microRNA precursor, 191 nt
Filed under: Oryza sativa Indica Group (long-grained rice)
Lineage: Eukaryota; Viridiplantae; Streptophyta; Magnoliopsida; Poales; Poaceae
Description: MIR812 microRNA precursor family
Rfam family: MIR812 microRNA precursor family
Source: Rfam by way of RNAcentral
AAAAAAAAAAAUUAUGGGUUUCUAUGCCAAUGUUUAACUAUCCGUCUUAUAUGAAAUUUUUUUAUAAUUAGUAUUUUUAUGGUUAUUAGAUGAUAAAACAUGAUUAAUACUUUAUGUGUGACUUAUCUUUUUAAUUUUUUUUCGUAAUUUUUUUAAAUAAGACGAACGGUCAAACGUUAGACAUGGGAAUC